GGCGGACGGGUGAGUAAUGCGUAGGAACCUACCUUCAAGUGGGGGAUAGCCCGGAGAAAUCCGGAUUAAUACCGCAUGUUCUCUACGGAGAAAAGCGGGCCUCUGUUUCAAGCUCGCGCUUGGGGAUGAGCCUACGUCGGAUUAGCUAGUUGGUGGGGUAAAAGCCUACCAAGGCGACGAUCCGUAGCUGGUUUGAGAGGAUGAUCAGCCACACUGGGACUGAGACACGGCCCAG
RNAcentral lists this ribosomal RNA (235 nucleotides) under uncultured bacterium. RNAcentral describes it as "partial 16S ribosomal RNA". It matches the Rfam family "Bacterial small subunit ribosomal RNA", at positions 97 to 334 of the family's 1533-position model. The record is from RNAcentral.